GUUUUUUUUUUAUGUUUAUCGUUUGUUUUCUCUUUAAUUUGGCUCCAGUAUUCUCUCGUUAUUAGGUUAUAGCUUGAGUUAUAGAUUUCUUACUGCGAUUGUGUUUUGUAUUGAUUUGCCUCUCCUAGAUUGGGUUCUAGGAAAAAGGGAAUCUCUGUGUAUAUCAAUUGGAUGUACGCGGCACACACGGCUUUUCACUGGAUGGUUUCCCAAAAAAGCGUAGCAAACCGAAGCUGUGCCUGAACAAGAAGUUACGGAGGAGCGCGGGACGCUGAAGCGACUGCGGAAUGCUACUCGCCGGGAACUAGGUUGCUUUUCUCAAGUCAAGACGGGGAUUUGUUCGCAUAGCUAUGGAGAAGGGAUGUGAUACAGUGCCAACUUUCGGCUUUUGUUAGUUCUACAUUCAUUGAUGCUAAUUUCUGGAUCGCAAAUUGCUUUAGACUGAAGUCAAUAAAUGGUGGAAGCCUAAUAACAAUUUGUUCCUGCAAAUUGGUAUGGUUCAAAAAUCCCAUUACUUUUGCAAGAUUUAAUUUGCAUUAUAUUUAGUGAUGUAUUCUCUUUUUUCAUAUCCUUUUCACCAGAAAUUAAAUAUUACUAUAACUAGGCAUCAUCACAUUUGAUAGAUGUAGUGCAUUUGGUAAAAGAAUUCAUCAAGUAUCAAGUUGCUUAUUCUAAACUGGGAAUAGUUCAUUAUUUUCUUUGAUGCUGGCCUCAUUUGUGCAUUCUUAAGACCUUAUGUAUACAUAUACGCAGGAUCACACAGUGUAAUUUUUUCCCUUUUUCCUCAACUUGUUCUCUUGUGUGUAGCUGUUGCUAACUUUCUUACAUCAUUGUUUCAUAUCUCAUCUACCUUUCUGCAAACCAAUACAUGUGGUGGUUGGUAAACUGUUAGGUCCAAAGUAUCGUAGAAGGGGGGGGUUGAAUACGAUACUCACUACAAUUUAAAAUUCUUUCGAAUCUUGCGGAUAAAUAAAUUGCAGUCCUGUAAUGGGUUUCGUGUUCCGGAUAUUUAUUGGGUCGGUUUCUGAGGAUAUGAAAA
This is a long non-coding RNA of Daucus carota subsp. sativus, 1039 nucleotides long. RefSeq lists it as uncharacterized. NCBI's taxonomy places the organism in Eukaryota, Viridiplantae, Streptophyta, Magnoliopsida, Apiales, Apiaceae. The transcript has 3 exons. The record is from RefSeq and is a predicted model, not a curated record.